GACGAACGCUGGCGGCGUGCUUAACACAUGCAAGUCGAACGGAAAGGCCCUGCUUUUGUGGGGUGCUCGAGUGGCGAACGGGUGAGUAACACGUGAGUAACCUGCCCUUGACUUUGGGAUAACUUCAGGAAACUGGGGCUAAUACCGGAUAGGAGCUCCUGCUGCAUGGUGGGGGUUGGAAAGUUUCGGCGGUUGGGGAUGGACUCGCGGCUUAUCAGCUUGUUGGUGGGGUAGUGGCUUACCAAGGCUUUGACGGGUAGCCGGCCUGAGAGGGUGACCGGCCACAUUGGGACGGAGAUACGGCCCAGACUCCUACGGGCGGCAGCAGUGGGGAAUAUUGCACAAUGGGCGGAAGCCUGAUGCAGCAACGCCGCGUGCGGGAUGACGGCCUUCGGGUUGUAAACCGCUUUCGCCUGUGACGAAGCGUGAGUGACGGUAAUUGGUAAAGAAGCACCGGCUAACUACGU
This 467-nucleotide ribosomal RNA is filed under the name uncultured bacterium. RNAcentral's name for it is "partial 16S ribosomal RNA". It matches the Rfam family "Bacterial small subunit ribosomal RNA", at positions 28 to 506 of the family's 1533-position model. The record is from RNAcentral.